GACGAACGCUGGCGGCGUGCUUAACACAUGCAAGUCGAACGGUGAACCUGCUUCGGUGGGGGAUCAGUGGCGAACGGGUGAGUAACACGUGGGCAACCUGCCCUCAGCUCUGGGAUAACUCCAAGAAAUUGGGGCUAAUACUGGAUAUGACCGCUGACCGCAUGGUCUGGUGGUGGAAAGAUUUAUCGGCUGGGGAUGGGCCCGCGGCCUAUCAGCUUGUUGGUGGGGUAGUGGCCUACCAAGGCGACGACGGGUAGCCGGCCUGAGAGGGUGACCGGCCACACUGGGACUGAGACACGGCCCAGACUCCUACGGGAGGCAGCAGUGGGGAAUAUUGCGCAAUGGGCGAAAGCCUGACGCAGCGACGCCGCGUGGGGGAUGACGGCCUUCGGGUGGUAAACCUCUUUCAGCAGGGACGAAGCGAAAGUGACGGUACCUGCAGAAGAAGCACCGGCCAACUACGU
RNAcentral lists this ribosomal RNA (464 nucleotides) under uncultured bacterium. Its description in RNAcentral is "partial 16S ribosomal RNA". It matches the Rfam family "Bacterial small subunit ribosomal RNA", at positions 28 to 506 of the family's 1533-position model. The record is from RNAcentral.